CUAUGGUCUUAGCAUCAAGCCUAGUGUUGAUGGUGUUGAGGACAGCUCCUGCCAUGGGAACUGCAAAGUGCAUCUCAUACAUAGCUGGAAUAUUUGGAGCCAGCACCGACACAACAUUGUUUUUGACAAUGUUCAGGGAGCGGAGAGAAGCGGCGAGACGGCGGCUGCGGUGGUACGUUUGCCACCACGUGAAACGAGUACCCUCAUAGAUAACAGAGGUGCGAUUGGCAUAAACCUCAGCAGCUCUCUUCAAGAAGGUUAAAGGCGUAAGAGGAACAUAAUUUGCGUUACAUUUUGGUAGCAAAUCCAUCGUUAAUUAAUUGAAAAGGGAGUGAGGAUGGAUCUAGAAAUCUAGAUGGGUGUGCUUAACGUGGAGGAAAUU
RNAcentral lists this unclassified non-coding RNA (382 nucleotides) under Hevea brasiliensis (rubber tree). Lineage: Eukaryota; Viridiplantae; Streptophyta; Magnoliopsida; Malpighiales; Euphorbiaceae. The record is from RNAcentral.